GACGAACGCUGGCGGCGUGCUUAACACAUGCAAGUCGAACGGAAAGGCCCGGCUUUUGUGGGGUGCUCGAGUGGCGAACGGGUGAGUAACACGUGAGUAACCUGCCCUUGACUUUGGGAUAACUUCAGGAAACUGGGGCUAAUACCGGAUAGGAGCUCCUGCUGCAUGGUGGGGGUUGGAAAGUUUCGGCGGUUGGGGAUGGACUCGCGGCUUAUCAGCUUGUUGGUGGGGUAGUGGCUUACCAAGGCUUUGACGGGUAGCCGGCCUGAGAGGGUGAACGGCCACCUUGGGACUGAGAUACGGCGCAGACUCCUACGGGAGGCAGCAGUGGGGAAUAUUGCACAAUGGGCGGACGCCUGAUGCAGCAACGCCGCGUGCGGGAUGACGGCCUUCGGGUUGUAAACCGCUUUCGCCUGUGACGAAGCGUGAGUGACGGUAAUGGGUAAAGAAGCACCGGCUAACUACGUG
This 468-nucleotide ribosomal RNA is filed under the name uncultured bacterium. RNAcentral's name for it is "partial 16S ribosomal RNA". It matches the Rfam family "Bacterial small subunit ribosomal RNA", at positions 28 to 507 of the family's 1533-position model. The record is from RNAcentral.